UCGUAACAAGGUUUCCGUAGGUGAACCUGCGGAAGGAUCAUUACCGAGUGAGGGCCCUCUGGGUCCAACCUCCCACCCGUGUUUAUUUACCUUGUUGCUUCGGCGGGCCCGCCUUAACUGGCCGCCGGGGGGCUCACGCCCCCGGGCCCGCGCCCGCCGAAGACACCCUCGAACUCUGUCUGAAGAUUGUAGUCUGAGUGAAAAUAUAAAUUAUUUAAAACUUUCAACAACGGAUCUCUUGGUUCCGGCAUCGAUGAAGAACGCAGCGAAAUGCGAUACGUAAUGUGAAUUGCAAAUUCAGUGAAUCAUCGAGUCUUUGAACGCACAUUGCGCCCCCUGGUAUUCCGGGGGGCAUGCCUGUCCGAGCGUCAUUGCUGCCCUCAAGCACGGCUUGUGUGUUGGGCCCCGUCCCCCGAUUCCGGGGGACGGGCCCGAAAGGCAGCGGCGGCACCGCGUCCGGUCCUCGAGCGUAUGGGGCUUUGUCACCCGCUCUGUAGGCCCGGCCGGCGCCUGCCGAUCAACCCAAAUUUUUAUCCAGGUUGACCUCGGAUCAGGUAGGGAUACCCGCUGAACUUAAGCAUAUC
Molecule: unclassified non-coding RNA, 584 nt
Filed under: Penicillium clavigerum
Lineage: Eukaryota; Fungi; Ascomycota; Eurotiomycetes; Eurotiales; Aspergillaceae
Description: sequence contains 18S rRNA gene, ITS1, 5.8S rRNA gene, ITS2, 28S rRNA gene
Rfam family: 5.8S ribosomal RNA (bases 219-371)
Source: RNAcentral